RNA transcript from Cyprinodon tularosa, 1506 nucleotides. It is a transcript of the gene named steroid-5-alpha-reductase, alpha polypeptide 2a, with no coding region annotated. The record is from RefSeq and is a predicted model, not a curated record. NCBI's taxonomy places the organism in Eukaryota, Metazoa, Chordata, Actinopteri, Cyprinodontiformes, Cyprinodontidae. The transcript is spliced from 7 exons.
ACAGAAGGCAUCUGAGAGAAAACUGAUUUCUUAAAAGUUCAGCUGCAGCAUUAGACAGAGCGAAUAACCAUAAAGUUUUUAUUCUCUUUUUUCUUUAUAGUUUUUUUUUAUCAAUUGGCAUUUUUUUUUAUCUUUCAGUGUUUGAUUUAGGAUAAAAUCUGCUUUUCAGUGCUCUCACUGAGGGAAUGCAGCUUCUUUAAACUCAGUCAGCCUGCAGGUGCCUGCUGAAUGUUUUAUUUUAUUAUACUUCAUUGAUAUUAAUCAAACCAUUUACAUAAAAGAAAGAAAGAGCCCUUUGUUUCUUUAUGUUGCUGUUUCGUAAGAUGCAGAAACGGAAGCUGCUUUAGCGUUUCGUCUCUCUGGUUUCUUCCACCGCAUCUCCGCUCCAGGUGGAACCGCCGCUUAUGAUGCAGUGCCGGGACGCCGCCGUGUCCUCCCUCAGCUGGGCGCUGCUGCUCGGCGGGUCGGCCUUCCUGCUGCAGCAGAGCCGCUGCAGUGGACCUUACGGCCGCUACGUAGAGGCGGGCAGCCGCUGCUGGCCCGCGGCGCUGGGCUGGUUCGUUCAGGAGGUUCCGGCUUUCCUGGUACCGCUUCUGCUGUGGAUCUGCGGGGGACAGGAGAGCGGGACCGGGGGGACGCUGCUCCUCUGGACCUUCAUGCUGCACUACUUCUACAGGAGCUUUGUCUACUCCCCUUUGACCCGAGGCCGGCCGGUGCCGUUAAAGAUCGUCUUCUCCGCUUUUAUCUUCUGCUCGCUGAAUGGCUUCCUGCAGGGACACCACCUGCUCCACUGUGCCAAGUUCCAGCCUGACUGGGUGACGAACGCUCGGAUCUCUGCAGGGUUUCUGCUGUUUUUCAUCGGUCUGAUCAUCAACAUCCACAGCGACCACAUUCUGCGAAACCUGAGGAACCCUGGGGAGAUUGUCUACAGGAUUCCUCGCGGAGGGAUGUUUGAGUUCGUCUCUGGUGCUAACUUUUUCGGAGAGAUCUUAGAGUGGUGUGGUUACGCUCUCGCCGCUUGGUCCUUACCAACCUUCGCCUUUGCCUUCUUCACCAUCUGCUCGAUUGGGCCCAGAGCCUACCAUCACCACAGCUACAAGCUGAACAGAUGAAGCACGCAAUUUAACCAGAGAUUAUCAGCAAAGGUUUAAGGAUUAUCCCCGCUGCAGGAAAGCAGUCAUUCCUUUCAUUUUUUAAGGAUGGAGGUCCAACAGCACACUCAGCUGCAGAUAUCAUCAGAUCACUUCCAGAAAUGAAAAGGUCACCGAAGGUUCGGACAAUGGAGCUCUUGCUUGAUUUUAUGAUUAUGUGUCCCUUUUCCUUUGUAUAAAAUCAGCCCUCUGUCCUUUUUACCAAUUGGAACAAGUUGCGGUUUACAGGUUGUAUUAGGGGGUUGCUUCCUGUUAGCUUUUGGAUAAUAGCUGACUAAACUUAUUCUCUUAUCUUUAUCUUAUUUCUCUGUCCUAUUAGAUGUCUCAGUUUAAUAAAGAAUAAUUUUAAUAAGAA